This is a ribosomal RNA of Sinocyclocheilus anshuiensis, 117 nucleotides long. NCBI's taxonomy places the organism in Eukaryota, Metazoa, Chordata, Actinopteri, Cypriniformes, Cyprinidae. The record is from Ensembl.
AGCCACAGUCAUAUCACCCUGCAGCCCAAGACUGGUUGCCCACUGCAGCUAAGCAGGGUUGAGCUUGGUCAGUACCUGGAUGGGAGACCUUCCGGGAAAACUAGGUUGCUGUUGGAA